Molecule: ribosomal RNA, 253 nt
Filed under: uncultured bacterium
Lineage: Bacteria
Description: partial 16S ribosomal RNA
Rfam family: Bacterial small subunit ribosomal RNA
Source: RNAcentral
UACAGAGGGUGCAAGCGUUGUUCGGAAUUACUGGGCGUAAAGCGCGUGUAGGCGGCGGCGUAAGUCGAAUGUGAAAUCCCUUGGCUUAACCAAGGAAGUGCAUCCGAUACCGCGUCGCUUGAGUGCCGGAGGGGAUGGCGGAAUUCCUGGUGUAGAGGUGAAAUUCGUAGAUAUCAGGAGGAACACCUGUGGCGAAGGCGGCCAUCUGGACGGUAACUGACGCUGAGACGCGAAAGCGUGGGUAGCAAACAGG